UCUGGCUCAGAUGAACGCUGGCGGCAGGCCUAACACAUGCAAGUCGAACGGUAACAGGAAGCAGCUUGCUGCUUGCUGACGAGUGGCGGACGGGUGAGUAAUGUCUGGGAAACUGCCCGAUGGAGGGGGAUAACUACUGGAAACGGUAGCUAAUACCGCAUAAUGUCGCAAGACCAAAGAGGGGGACCUUCGGGCCUCUUGCCAUCGGAUGUGCCCAGAUGGGAUUAGCUUGUUGGUGAGGUAACGGCUCACCAAGGCGACGAUCCCUAGCUGGUCUGAGAGGAUGACCAGCCACACUGGAACUGAGACACGGUCCAGACUCCUACGGGAGGCAGCAGUGGGGAAUAUUGCACAAUGGGCGCAAGCCUGAUGCAGCCAAUGCCGCGUGUAUGAAGAAGGCCUUUGGGUUGUAAAGUACUUUCAGCGGGGAGGAAGGGGUUAAGGUUAAUAACCUUAGCCAUUGGCGUUACCCGCAGAAGAAGCACCGGCUAACUCCGUGCCAGCCGCGGC
This 510-nucleotide ribosomal RNA is filed under the name uncultured bacterium. RNAcentral's name for it is "bacterial SSU rRNA". It matches the Rfam family "Bacterial small subunit ribosomal RNA", at positions 18 to 518 of the family's 1533-position model. The record is from RNAcentral.